This 200-nucleotide long non-coding RNA is filed under the name Lathyrus oleraceus (garden pea). RNAcentral describes it as "Pisum sativum (pea) long non-coding RNA (PSAT_LNC018282)". The record is from RNAcentral. Lineage: Eukaryota; Viridiplantae; Streptophyta; Magnoliopsida; Fabales; Fabaceae.
CAAAUCUCCAAGUUUCACAACAACAAGCUUCUACUUAUGGCCCUUUGGGAUCAUUUCUAGGGAAACCCGAGCAAAAUCCUAAGGGGCACUUGAAUGUUGUGAUAUCCCGAAGCGGUAAGCAAGUGGUUAGUUAUAAUGAGAGAGACAAAGAGGUUAAGAAGAGUGAACCAACACCACCGGAAAAUGAGGUUGUUGAAGAG